Molecule: non-coding RNA, 25 nt
Filed under: Gallus gallus (chicken)
Lineage: Eukaryota; Metazoa; Chordata; Aves; Galliformes; Phasianidae
Also listed under: 1 other name
Source: RNAcentral
UUCUCUUCAGAUCGUAUAAAUCUUU